GAUGAACGCUGGCGGCGUGCUUAACACAUGCAAGUCGAACGGUGAACCCGGAGCUUGCUCUGUGGGAUCAGUGGCGAACGGGUGAGUAACACGUGAGCAACCUGCCCCUGACUCUGGGAUAAGCGCUGGAAGCGGCGUCUAAUACUGGAUAUGUGACGUGACCGCAUGGUCUGCGUUUGGAAAGAUUUUUCGGUUGGGGAUGGGCUCGCGGCCUAUCAGCUUGUUGGUGAGGUAAUGGCUCACCAAGGCGUCGACGGGUAGCCGGCCUGAGAGGGUGACCGGCCACACUGGGACUGAGACACGGCCCAGACUCCUACGGGAGGCAGCAGUGGGGAAUAUUGCACAAUGGGCGCAAGCCUGAUGCAGCAACGCCGCGUGAGGGAUGACGGCCUUCGGGUUGUAAACCUCUUUUAGCAGGGAAGAAGCGAAAGUGACGGUACCUGCAGAAAAAGCGCCGGCUAACUACGUG
Molecule: ribosomal RNA, 469 nt
Filed under: uncultured bacterium
Lineage: Bacteria
Description: partial 16S ribosomal RNA
Rfam family: Bacterial small subunit ribosomal RNA
Source: RNAcentral